Molecule: ribosomal RNA, 553 nt
Filed under: uncultured Nitrososphaerota archaeon
Lineage: Archaea; Thermoproteati; Nitrososphaerota
Description: bacterial SSU rRNA
Rfam family: Archaeal small subunit ribosomal RNA
Source: RNAcentral
ACGGGGUGCAGCAGGCGCGAAACCUUUGCAAUGUGCGAAAGCAUGACAAGGUUAAUCCGAGUGUCUCCUGCUAAAGGAGUCUUUUGUCAGUUGUAGAAUCACUGAUGAAUAAGGGGUGGGCAAGUUCUGGUGUCAGCCGCCGCGGUAAAACCAGCACCUCGAGUGGUCAGGAGGUUUAUUGGGCCUAAAGCAUCCGUAGCCGGUUGCAUAAGUUUUCGGUUAAAUCUAUGCGCUCAACGUAUAGGCCGCCGAAAAUACUGUGCAGCUAGGGAGUGGGAGAGGUACACGGUACUCAAUAGGAAGGGGUAAAAUCCUUUGAUCUAUUGAUGACCACCUGUGGCGAAGGCGGUGUACCAGAACACGUUCGACGGUGAGGGAUGAAAGCUGGGGGAGCAAACCGGAUUAGAUACCCGGGUAGUCUCAGCUGUAAACGAUGCAGACUCGGUGAUGCAUUGGCUUGUGGCCAAUGCAGUGCCGCAGGGAAGCCGUUAAGUCUGCCGCCUGGGAAGUACGUACGCAAGUAUGAAACUUAAAGGAAUUGGCGGGGGAGCAC